This 425-nucleotide ribosomal RNA is filed under the name uncultured bacterium. Its description in RNAcentral is "bacterial SSU rRNA". It matches the Rfam family "Bacterial small subunit ribosomal RNA", at positions 354 to 796 of the family's 1533-position model. The record is from RNAcentral.
GUGGGGAAUCUUGCGCAAUGGGCGAAAGCCUGACGCAGCCAUGCCGCGUGAAUGAUGAAGGUCUUAGGAUUGUAAAAUUCUUUCACCGGGGACGAUAAUGACGGUACCCGGAGAAGAAGCCCCGGCUAACUUCGUGCCAGCAGCCGCGGUAAUACGAAGGGGGCUAGCGUUGCUCGGAAUUACUGGGCGUAAAGGGAGCGUAGGCGGACUGUUAAGUUAGAGGUGAAAGCCCAGGGCUCAACCUUGGAAUUGCCUUUGAUACUGGCAGUCUUGAGUACGGAAGAGGUAUGUGGAACUCCGAGUGUAGAGGUGAAAUUCGUAGAUAUUCGGAAGAACACCAGUGGCGAAGGCGACAUACUGGUCCGUUACUGACGCUGAGGCUCGAAAGCGUGGGGAGCAAACAGGAUUAGAAACCCUUGUAGUCC